This 426-nucleotide ribosomal RNA is filed under the name Megaselia latifemorata. RNAcentral's name for it is "partial 16S ribosomal RNA". The record is from RNAcentral. Lineage: Eukaryota; Metazoa; Arthropoda; Insecta; Diptera; Phoridae.
UUUUAGAAUUUAAUUUAAAGUCUAACCUGCCCACUGAAAAAUUUUAAAUGGCCGCAGUAUCCUAACUGUGCAAAGGUAGCAUAAUCAUUAGUCUUUUAAUUGAAGGCUGGAAUGAAUGGUUGGAUGAAAUAUUAACUGUUUCAUAGAAAUUUAUAAUAGAAUUUUAUUUUUUAGUCAAAAAGCUAAAAUAAUAUUAAAAGACGAGAAGACCCUAUAAAUCUUUAUACCCAUAAAAUUUUAAUUAUUUAGAUAAAUUAAAUUAUAAUUUUUUAGUGUAUUUUAUUGGGGUGAUAUUAAAAUUUAAUAAACUUUUAAUUUAUAAUUAACAUAAAUUAAUGAAUUAUUGAUCCAUUUAUUAUGAUUAAAAAAUUAAGUUACUUUAGGGAUAACAGCGUAAUUUUUUUAGAGAGUUCAUAUUGAUAAAAA